UACAGAGGGUGCGAGCGUUAAUCGGAAUUACUGGGCGUAAAGCGUGCGUAGACGGUUAUUUAAGUCGGGUGUGAAAGCCCCGGGCUCAACCUGGGAAUUGCAUUCGAGACUGAAUAGCUAGGGUACGGUAGAGGGAAGUGGAAUUUCCGGUGUAGCGGUGAAAUGCGUAGAGAUGUGGAGGAACACCAAUGGCGAAGGCAGCCUUCUGGGCCAACACUGACGCUCAUGCACGAAAGCGUGGGGAGCAAACAGG
RNAcentral lists this ribosomal RNA (253 nucleotides) under uncultured bacterium. RNAcentral describes it as "partial 16S ribosomal RNA". It matches the Rfam family "Bacterial small subunit ribosomal RNA", at positions 524 to 776 of the family's 1533-position model. The record is from RNAcentral.